CCUACGGGUGGCUGCAGUGGGGAAUAUUGGACAAUGGGGGGAACCCUGAUCCAGCCAUGCCGCGUGUGUGAAGAAGGCCCUUGGGUUGUAAAGCACUUUCAGUGAGGAAGAACGCCUGGUGGUUAAUACCCAUCAGGAAAGACAUCACUCACAGAAGAAGCACCGGCUAACUCCGUGCCAGCAGCCGCGGUAAUACGGAGGGUGCGAGCGUUAAUCGGAAUUACUGGGCGUAAAGCGCGCGUAGGUGGCUUGAUAAGCCGGUUGUGAAAGCCCCGGGCUCAACCUGGGAACGGCAUCCGGAACUGUCAAGCUAGAGUGCAGGAGAGGAAGGUAGAAUUCCCGGUGUAGCGGUGAAAUGCGUAGAGAUCGGGAGGAAUACCAGUGGCGAAGGCGGCCUUCUGGACUGACACUGACACUGAGGUGCGAAAGCGUGGGUAGCAAACAGGAUUAGAUACCCCUGUAGUC
This 465-nucleotide ribosomal RNA is filed under the name Vreelandella stevensii. Its description in RNAcentral is "partial 16S ribosomal RNA". It matches the Rfam family "Bacterial small subunit ribosomal RNA", at positions 338 to 795 of the family's 1533-position model. Lineage: Bacteria; Pseudomonadati; Pseudomonadota; Gammaproteobacteria; Oceanospirillales; Halomonadaceae. The record is from RNAcentral.